CUACCCCCCGUGCUGCCCAGCGCUGAAUAAACAUGCCUACUUUACAGUCUUACAGAUUGUGGAGUCCGCUUUCCGCACGUCAGUUUGUCGAGCCAGCCAGGAGUCUCUGCUUGGCUGCGGGAUCGGCUGCGGAGCGGACGCCCCUAGGCGCGCCCCGAGAACUCUUCUCGGAGGAGCCUCCGCUGCCGGCCGCUCACCGCGGGAGCAGACAACAACCUCCUGAAGCCGCGGAAGAAAACGUUAAACAGGGUCCUUCCGAAUCCCCAUCUGAAUUCCUGGAUCGCUUGAGGGAUGUAAUGUGCCGCAGCGCACCGCUGGAUCCUGGGUCAGAGACUUGAAAGAUGCUUUCUUUUGCCUCCCUCUCCAUGAAGCCAGC
Molecule: non-coding RNA, 376 nt
Organism: Phalacrocorax carbo (great cormorant)
Lineage: Eukaryota; Metazoa; Chordata; Aves; Suliformes; Phalacrocoracidae
Source: RefSeq, a predicted model, not a curated record